AACGAACGCUGGCGGCGUGCCUAACACAUGCAAGUCGAACGAGAAAGGGGCUUCGGCCCUGAGUAAAGUGGCGCACGGGUGAGUAACACGUAGGUAACCUGCCUCUAAGAUCGGGAUAACCUGUCGAAAGACGAGCUAAUACUGGAUAAGACCACAGCUUCUGAGGGAGCCGAGGUCAAAGGUAGCCUCUGCUUGCAAGCUAUCGCUUAGAGAUGGGCCUGCGUACCAUUAGCUAGUUGGUAGGGUAACGGCCUACCAAGGCAAAGAUGGUUAGCUGGUCUGAGAGGAUGAUCAGCCACACUGGAACUGAGACACGGUCCAGACUCCUACGGGAGCAGCAGU
RNAcentral lists this ribosomal RNA (342 nucleotides) under uncultured bacterium. RNAcentral's name for it is "bacterial SSU rRNA". It matches the Rfam family "Bacterial small subunit ribosomal RNA", at positions 29 to 355 of the family's 1533-position model. The record is from RNAcentral.